Molecule: long non-coding RNA, 145 nt
Organism: Micropterus dolomieu (smallmouth bass)
Lineage: Eukaryota; Metazoa; Chordata; Actinopteri; Centrarchiformes; Centrarchidae
Exons: 2
Source: RefSeq, a predicted model, not a curated record
GGCGAAAACCAUUUGAUUAGCGUCCUUGGAGAGCGGAAUGAGUUUUCACGGUGUUCAUGGUGCAUGGUGCACGUUGAGAGGAAUAAUAAAUCGACACCCGUUUGAAACUCUCUGCGUCUUGAUCAAUAAAUCCAAGGGGCCGCUA